This 710-nucleotide ribosomal RNA is filed under the name Pasteurella sp. Melo28. RNAcentral describes it as "bacterial SSU rRNA". It matches the Rfam family "Bacterial small subunit ribosomal RNA", at positions 74 to 787 of the family's 1533-position model. Lineage: Bacteria; Pseudomonadati; Pseudomonadota; Gammaproteobacteria; Pasteurellales; Pasteurellaceae. The record is from RNAcentral.
GCUUGCUUUCUUGCUGACGAGUGGCGGACGGGUGAGUAAUGCUUGGGAAUCUGGCUUACGGAGGGGGAUAACUGCGGGAAACUGCAGCUAAUACCGCGUAAUAUCUUAGGAUUAAAGGGGGCGUUUGCUCCUGCCGUGAGAUGAGCCCAAGUGGGAUUAGGUAGUUGGUGAGGUAAUGGCUCACCAAGCCUGCGAUCUCUAGCUGGUCUGAGAGGAUGGCCAGCCACACCGGGACUGAGACACGGCCCGGACUCCUACGGGAGGCAGCAGUGGGGAAUAUUGCGCAAUGGGGGGAACCCUGACGCAGCCAUGCCGCGUGAAUGAAGAAGGCCUUCGGGUUGUAAAGUUCUUUCGGUGACGAGGAAGGUGCUUAGGUUAAUACCCUAAGCAAUUGACGUUAAUCACAGAAGAAGCACCGGCUAACUCCGUGCCAGCAGCCGCGGUAAUACGGAGGGUGCGAGCGUUAAUCGGAAUAACUGGGCGUAAAGGGCACGCAGGCGGAUUUUUAAGUGAGGUGUGAAAGCCCCGGGCUUAACCUGGGAAUAGCAUUUCAGACUGGGAAUCUAGAGUACUUUAGGGAGGGGUAGAAUUCCACGUGUAGCGGUGAAAUGCGUAGAGAUGUGGAGGAAUACCGAAGGCGAAGGCAGCCCCUUGGGAAUGUACUGACGCUCAUGUGCGAAAGCGUGGGGAGCAAACAGGAUUAGAUACCC